RNAcentral lists this long non-coding RNA (1010 nucleotides) under Homo sapiens (human). RNAcentral describes it as "non-protein coding lnc-RBMS3-4:1". The record is from RNAcentral. Lineage: Eukaryota; Metazoa; Chordata; Mammalia; Primates; Hominidae.
CACGUACCUAAACUUGUGACCAGGGGUCUCUAGUUUUAGAAAUGGAAACCCCUUUCACAACCACGAUGUUGGAGAGGGAAGCAGCUACCUCAAAAGAAGGGAAUGAACGGUUGAGACCAGACAAUAUAAUAAGUGGCCACUCUCUGGUAGAGAAAGACUUUGGAGGAAACCCAUCAGGCAUCCAGAACCCACAGCUCUGCCAUCAGAACUCCAUCCUGGGAACAGAAGCCGUCUAUCUGCAUCUGUAAACAUGGCCUCAUGUAGUGACGUGCAGGGAAAUGAGUGUGCCCUUGCAAUGGUUCUCAGUCCUUUCUUUAUCUCAACAUCAUGGCAUUUUAUGGCUUCCCUCAUGAGACAACUCAAUUAUUCUCACAAUUUAUCUAGAUUUCUGGAAAAAUAUGUUGGAAUGUGGCCUUCCUACCAGAAAACCACUCAGACUGCCUCCUCUCCCUCUUACUCUCCAGGGAGGAGAGAAGAAUGAUCAUCAAGGGCAGAAGGCAGUUACAUCGAAGCAACACUGAAAACUGGCUUCAUGCUCAGGAGAGAAUGCUGCGCUUUUUCCUCGUGAUUUGUGGUGCUCUACAUAUUCAGAGAAACUUCUCCAGUAACAAACUAUAGAAAUGAUCCCUCAAAGUAUAGUCUUCAAGAUUCUUAAUCACAUCUGAAAAGAGCCUUUGUCAUGCCAGACCCUUGCUGACAUCGAUAGGAGUGACACCCUGUUUGACAGGCUGAAGAAGAGACCUAGAGCCGGUGAAUGAAAUACAGGGUUUAUUGAAGGAACCCAGUGUCAAUGGGCUGGAUAAAAGAACAGCUACCACUUGUAAAAAACAUGCAGUUUAGGCCGGGUGUGGUGGUUCACGCCUGUAAUCCCAGCACUUUGGGAGGCUGAGGCGGGCAGAUCCUGAGGUCAGGAGAUUGAGACCAUCCUGGCUAAUACUGUGAAACCCCGUCUCUACUACAAAUACAAAAAAUUAGCUGAGCGUGGUGGCACAUGCCUGUAGUCCCAGCUA